This 440-nucleotide ribosomal RNA is filed under the name uncultured bacterium. RNAcentral's name for it is "bacterial SSU rRNA". It matches the Rfam family "Bacterial small subunit ribosomal RNA", at positions 338 to 775 of the family's 1533-position model. The record is from RNAcentral.
CCUACGGGAGGCAGCAGUGAGGAAUAUUGGACAAUGGAGGCAACUCUGAUCCAGCCAUGCCGCGUGCAGGAUGACGGCCCUAUGGGUUGUAAACUGCUUUUAUGUAGGAAGAAACACUCUCACGUGUGAGAGCUUGACGGUACUACAAGAAUAAGGACCGGCUAACUCCGUGCCAGCAGCCGCGGUAAUACGGAGGGUCCAAGCGUUAUCCGGAAUCAUUGGGUUUAAAGGGUCCGUAGGCGGGCUAUUAAGUCAGAGGUGAAAGUUUGCAGCUCAACUGUAAAAUUGCCUUUGAAACUGGUAGUCUUGAAUUAUUAUGAAGUGGUUAGAAUAAGUAGUGUAGCGGUGAAAUGCAUAGAUAUUACUUAGAAUACCAAUUGCGAAGGCAGAUCACUAAUAAUAUAUUGACGCUGAGGGACGAAAGCGUGGGGAGCGAACAG